RNAcentral lists this ribosomal RNA (324 nucleotides) under uncultured eukaryote. RNAcentral describes it as "partial 18S ribosomal RNA". It matches the Rfam family "Eukaryotic small subunit ribosomal RNA", at positions 1470 to 1796 of the family's 1831-position model. The record is from RNAcentral.
CCCUUAGAUGUCCUGGGCCGCACGCGCGUUACACUGAUGCAUUCAACGAGCUUAUAACCUUGGCCGAGAGGCCUGGGCAAUCUUGUUAACGUGCAUCGUGCUAGGGAUAGACUAUUGCAAUUAUUGGUCUUCAACGAGGAAUUCCUAGUAGACGUAGUUCAUCAGACUGCAUCGAUUACGUCCCUGCCCUUUGUACACACCGCCCGUCGCUCCUACCGAUUGGAUGAUCCGGUGAGCUAUUCGGACCUUCGCUUCGUCGAUUUUCGGCUUUGUGAGGGAAAGUCUCGCGAACCUUAUCAUCUAGAGGAAGGAGAAGUCGUAACA